GCCUCGUUAGCUCAAUCGGUAGAGCACCAGGCUCUUAACCUGGGGGUUGCGGGUUCAAUCCCCGCACGGGGCU
Molecule: transfer RNA, 73 nt
Filed under: Intoshia linei
Lineage: Eukaryota; Metazoa; Orthonectida; Rhopaluridae
Rfam family: tRNA
About the family: Transfer RNA (tRNA) molecules are approximately 80 nucleotides in length.
Source: Rfam by way of RNAcentral